RNAcentral lists this ribosomal RNA (253 nucleotides) under uncultured bacterium. Its description in RNAcentral is "partial 16S ribosomal RNA". It matches the Rfam family "Bacterial small subunit ribosomal RNA", at positions 524 to 776 of the family's 1533-position model. The record is from RNAcentral.
UAUGAGAGGCGCAAACGUUAUUCGGAAUUACUGGGCUUAAAGAGUUCGUAGGCGGCGCAGAAAGUAGGGUGUGAAAGCCCUCGGCUCAACCGAGGAAUUGCGCUCUAAACUACUGUGCUUGAGGGACCUAGAGGUGAGCGGAACUGAUGGUGGAGCGGUGAAAUGCGUUGAUAUCAUCAGGAACACCGGAGGCGAAGGCGGCUCACUGGGGGUCUUCUGACGCUGAGGAACGAAAGCCAGGGGAGCGAACGGG